AGAACGAACGCUGGCGGCAUGCCUAACACAUGCAAGUCGAACGUGAUCCGGGCUUCGGCCUGGUGAAAGUGGCAGACGGGUGAGUAACGCGUGGGAACCUGCCCUGUGGUAGGGAAUAACCGCGGGAAACUGCGGCUAAUACCCUAUGAGUCCUUCGGGAGAAAGAUUUAUCGCCAUAGGAGGGGCCCGCGUCGGAUUAGGUAGUUGGUGGGGUAACGGCCUACCAAGCCUUCGAUCCGUAGCUGGUCUGAGAGGAUGAUCAGCCACACUGGGACUGAGAUACGGCCCAGACUCCUACGGGAGGCAGCAGUGGGGAAUAUUGGACAAUGGGGGCAACCCUGAUCCAGCAAUGCCGCGUGGGUGAUGAAGGCCUUCGGGUUGUAAAGCCCUUUGGCGGGGAAGAGUGAUGACGGUACCCGCAGAGAAGCCCCGGCUAACUUCGUGCCAGCAGCCGC
This 455-nucleotide ribosomal RNA is filed under the name uncultured bacterium. RNAcentral's name for it is "SSU rRNA". It matches the Rfam family "Bacterial small subunit ribosomal RNA", at positions 26 to 518 of the family's 1533-position model. The record is from RNAcentral.